Molecule: ribosomal RNA, 482 nt
Filed under: uncultured bacterium
Lineage: Bacteria
Description: partial 16S ribosomal RNA
Rfam family: Bacterial small subunit ribosomal RNA
Source: RNAcentral
AUUGAACGCUGGCGGCAUGCCUUACACAUGCAAGUCGAACGGUAACGGGCCUUCGGGUGCCGACGAGUGGCGAACGGGCGAGUAAUACAUCGGAACGUGCCCGAUCGUGGGGGAUAACGAGGCGAAAGCUAUGCUAAUACCGCACACGAUCUACGGAUGAAAGCAGGGGACCGCAAGGCCUUGCUCGGACGGAGCGGCCGAUGGCAGAGGAGGUGGAUGGUGGGAUAGAAGCUUACCAAGCCGACGAUCUGUAGCGGGUGGGUGAGGGGGAUGAGCCACACUGGAAGUGAGCCACGGCCCAGGGGCCUACGGGAGGCACCAGUGUGGAAUUUUGGACAGUAGGCGCGAGCAUUAUCCAGCCAUCCGGCGUGCAGUAUGGAGGCCUUCGGGUUGUAAAGUGCUUUUGUGCGGAGCGAAACGCCUUCUUUUAAUACAGGAGGGUCAUGACGGUACCGUAAGAAUAAGCACCGGCUAACUACGUG